This 253-nucleotide ribosomal RNA is filed under the name uncultured bacterium. Its description in RNAcentral is "partial 16S ribosomal RNA". It matches the Rfam family "Bacterial small subunit ribosomal RNA", at positions 524 to 776 of the family's 1533-position model. The record is from RNAcentral.
UACGUAGGGUGCGAGCGUUAAUCGGAAUUACUGGGCGUAAAGCGCACGUAGGCGGAUCGUUAAGUCGGGGGUGAAAUCCUGGAGCUCAACUCCAGAACUGCCUUCGAUACUGGCGAUCUCGAGUUCGGGAGAGGUGAGUGGAACUGCGAGUGUAGAGGUGAAAUUCGUAGAUAUUCGCAAGAACACCAGUGGCGAAGGCGGCUCACUGGCCCGAUACUGACGCUGAGGUGCGAAAGCGUGGGGAGCAAACAGG